RNAcentral lists this long non-coding RNA (627 nucleotides) under Heterocephalus glaber (naked mole-rat). RNAcentral's name for it is "lncRNA (ENSHGLG00100033484.1)". The record is from RNAcentral. Lineage: Eukaryota; Metazoa; Chordata; Mammalia; Rodentia; Bathyergidae.
CCCCUGGCCUGCCCGGCUCCCAGGCUGCCUCCCUCAGACCUCCGGCGCCGCGUCUCUCCCGCCCUGGCCUGAGUUCCCGCCGCGCUCUUGGGCCUGAGGGACCCGCGUGGAGCUCGCAGCGCCUCGGAAACUGGGGGAGGCAAGGCUGCACAAUGACCCAGACGGUGCCUUCUGCCAGGGGCGGCCCUGCCUGGGCAGCUUAUAGGAUGACAGCCUGCUCGCGGGCUUCCUGAGGAGGCUCCUGCCCGCCGAGUGUCUUGCUAAGUCACUAAAUCCAGUUGCCCAAGAUGGAUUUGAAUGUGUGAUCCUCCUGCCUCAGCCUCCUGGAGCUAAAAUUACAGGGUUGGAUAUCGGAGGGCUUGAGAGUCAAAAAAAGAAGAGGCCUGAACACAGCCAGGAAACCAAGCACUCCAGUCGAUAGAGCCAAAGUCUCUGAAGAAGAGGCAAGGGCAGUUGGAGGGAAGAGGAGAGGAAAAACAGAAGUCGUUCUGGGCACAAGAAACUGAGCAGGUACAGGUGAAAAAGAGGCCCCAUUGCCUCAGGGCGGGGAGGCUGCAUGGCAGACAAGCAGGAUUCCUGCCAUCUCCCACAGGGACCACAUGAGAGUUAAAGUGUGGGGGCUCAGUC